This 254-nucleotide ribosomal RNA is filed under the name uncultured bacterium. RNAcentral describes it as "partial 16S ribosomal RNA". It matches the Rfam family "Bacterial small subunit ribosomal RNA", at positions 524 to 776 of the family's 1533-position model. The record is from RNAcentral.
CACGUAGGGUGCGAGCGUUGUCCGGAAUUAUUGGGCGUAAAGAGCUCGUAGGCGGUGUGUCGCGUCGGCCGUGAAAACCUGCAGCUUAACUGUGGGCGUGCGGUCGAUACGGGCAUCACUGGAGUUCGGCAGGGGAGACUGGAAUUCCUGGUGUAGCGGUGAAAUGCGCAGAUAUCAGGAGGUACACCGGUGGCGAAGGCGGGUCUCUGGGCCGAUACUGACGCUGAGGAGCGAAAGCGUGGGGAGCAAACAGG